UUGCUACCUGGUUGAUCCUG
Molecule: ribosomal RNA, 20 nt
Filed under: Cytisus arboreus subsp. catalaunicus
Lineage: Eukaryota; Viridiplantae; Streptophyta; Magnoliopsida; Fabales; Fabaceae
Also listed under: 1 other name
Description: partial 18S ribosomal RNA
Source: RNAcentral